RNAcentral lists this ribosomal RNA (299 nucleotides) under uncultured bacterium. RNAcentral's name for it is "partial 16S ribosomal RNA". It matches the Rfam family "Bacterial small subunit ribosomal RNA", at positions 335 to 629 of the family's 1533-position model. The record is from RNAcentral.
UUACCUACGGGAGGCAGCAGUGAGGAAUAUUGGUCAAUGGGCGGAAGCCUGAACCAGCCAAGUCGCGUGAGGGAAGAAGGCCCUGCGGGUCGCAGACCUCUUUGGACGGGGAGCAAGGCCGCCGACGUGUCGGCGGAAGGAGAGUACCCGUAGAACAAGCAUCGGCUAACUCCGUGCCAGCAGCCGCGGUAAUACGUAGGGGGCAAGCGUUAUCCGGAUUUACUGGGUGUAAAGGGAGCGUAGGUGGCAUGGCAAGCCAGAAGUGAAAACCCGGGGCUUAACCCCGCGGAUUGCUUUUG